AUUUAAAUAGCUUAAGUUAAGAGCAUGGCAUUGAAGAUGCUAGGGUGAUUAUUCAAGAUCUUUAAAUA
This 68-nucleotide transfer RNA is filed under the name Flavoperla sp. YW-2019. Its description in RNAcentral is "tRNA-Phe". It matches the Rfam family "tRNA". Rfam says of the family: Transfer RNA (tRNA) molecules are approximately 80 nucleotides in length. Their secondary structure includes four short double-helical elements and three loops (D, anti-codon, and T loops). Lineage: Eukaryota; Metazoa; Arthropoda; Insecta; Plecoptera; Perlidae. The record is from RNAcentral.